ACAAACGCAUGGGGAAGAAAAACGUUGGGUGGAAAUAUCAAUCCAUCCGGCGACUCCUUCAACAUCUCCUCCCCCCCGUUUCUUUGGACGCGCAAACCGAGGUUCGUUGGACGCGGCCAAAGCCAGGGCCCAACUUGGCGUCACGACGAGGCGGAGAGAGAGCGAGCGGCGAAGAAAGAAAAAGAGAGAACCAGCGGUUUGCAAAGCCGAGUGCUUUCUCGCUUUUCGUCGAACGGGAAGGAGGGAAAAAGGGGGGAAAAGCAAGAAAAAGGGUUUGGAAGGGAAAAAGAAUUGGAAAACCCUAAUCAAAGGCGAGCGUCACGUCCCUUUCUAGCGAUCUAUUCAAUUUCUGGUAUUAGAUUUCCAGAUUGCUUGUCUCAAUGGUAUGCAUGACUGGGUGUGGGAGAAUGGCUGCCAUGGUGAGGCUUCUCACUGUUGGAAGUUGUCCAGAAAUUACACCAGAAGAAGACAGCUAUGAGAAGAUUGCUGCUCAGAGCAUACAUAAGGAGUUUCAUGAUGCAGAUGAGGCGAAUUUACUUGAAGAAGAAGAUAUGCAUGUCUUUGAUUGUAGACCGCUGACAGAUCCCUUGCACCUGGUUUGUUGCAAUGCUUGCAAGAAGCCAGUCAAAGCCAGUCAAUAUGCAGCUCAUGCAGAGCGCUGUAGGUCAUUAAACUCUGUGAAAGACAUUGUUCUGGAGCUUGAUGGUAGUGCUGGUCAUAAGAAGCCUCCAAGGAAGGGGAGAAAAAUAUUACAAGCAACUAAUUGUAAUCAACGAAAAACUGUAGAAGAGCAAGAAAAAUCUGAGUCAAUGGAUGGGAAUGUUGUUGGUGUUUCAGAGUCAAAUUUCGAUAACCAGAGUGGCAUGCUAUCUUCCCAGUCUGGAGAGUCUCAAAGGACACCAGCAUCGGUUGAUCAUACCACAGUACUUGAUGCUUCUGAAAUUGGCACUGGAGGCAGGGAAUAUUACAAGAUAUCAAAUGCAGAAAGAGAAGUACCUUGUAAUACUCUGAACAGAUAUCAGAAGGCUGGACAAAUCCUUGAAAAUGGUGUAAUUCAUAAGGAGUAUCUUCGGAGUAAUGCUCCAGUUCCACUUGCUACCAAAAUAUACCACUUGCAAGGAAACAAUCAUCUCCGCUUAGAACUUGGCCAUCUAUACCGUGAGGCAUGUGCAGAACAGCAUGGCGCUGAUUCCCUAAGUCCAGAAUCAAUGCAGGACAAGGGUAUGAUGUCUAUCGAAGUCUCAUCUUCUAGUAAAUUAUUUCGCGAGGUUCACAGGGAUGAUGUUCCUCAAACGAAGAAAUUACAUUUCCACUUUCUCACUUCGGAAACAGAGAGAUAUGUACUCCUCAGCUGCUGUUUGGAACCCUGAUCAGGUUCUAGCACAAAGUUCAGAACUAUUCUUGGGAAACUCAGGAGCAUUACCAUCAGCUGCAAGUUUUCCAAAUCAUUUCAGAGGGAACAGAUUUUCGAAACCUGAAGUAGCUGCGGCUUCAGUGGGGGUCAUGAAAGACAGAUUUCAUUCUGCACCAUAUUCAUAUACUGCAAAAUCAGGUUUGCCCCUGGGAACAAUGCAGAAGACGAAUGGGCGUGUUUCUGUGGUUUAACCGUCCAGGACUGAUUCUCACAAGGGAAGCGUGAUUUUGUUGUACAUCCUCCAUCAUAAUAGUUGGAUUAAUGGUGGAACACAUUAAAGUUGUUCUCUUUUCUUUGUUCUUUUUUGGCUAUUGCAUUAUGAUAGAUUAAUUUAUUUCAUUGACGAUCUCUAGGAUGCAUUGGCUCAUGCUUGUUGAAUUGCCUGUAUUCUAUUUAAUCAAAUGUGGCCUCUCUCAGUGGAAAUGCUGCAGCCCUCACAUAGCUCAAAAUGGUGAUCCAUUAGCAGCUAUCAAGACUGGGCCAUCAAGGUGUGAGAAAUGGCUCACAAAUCGGUGCUCCCUGCCUGGUGGAACUGAUUCUUGCCCCUAUGGGAUAUUUUUGGUUCUUAAAUUAUACAAUUGUGCAGAGAAAGGUGGAAUGGUGAUUAAAUCUGAUAUGAUUCAUAGGAGAUUGACCUAUAGAUAGUUUUGUUGUGCA
Molecule: RNA transcript, 2071 nt
Organism: Phoenix dactylifera (date palm)
Lineage: Eukaryota; Viridiplantae; Streptophyta; Magnoliopsida; Arecales; Arecaceae
Source: RefSeq, a predicted model, not a curated record